Molecule: ribosomal RNA, 390 nt
Filed under: uncultured bacterium
Lineage: Bacteria
Description: bacterial SSU rRNA
Rfam family: Bacterial small subunit ribosomal RNA
Source: RNAcentral
AACGAACGCUGGCGGCGCGCCUAAUACAUGCAAGUCGAGCGAGAAGACGUAGCAAUACGUUUGUAAAGCGGCGAACGGGUGAGGAAUACAUGGGUAACCUACCCUCGAGUGGGGAAUAACUAGCCGAAAGGUUAGCUAAUACCGCGUACGCUCCUUGGACUUCGGUUCAGGGAGGAAAGCGAUGCCGAGGGUAUCGCGCUCUUGGAUGGGCUCAUGUCCUAUCAGCUUGUUGGNGAGGUAACGGCUCACCAAGGCUUCGACGGGUAGCUGGUCUGAGAGGACGAUCAGCCACACUGGCACUGCGACACGGGCCAGACUCCUACGGGAGGCAGCAGUAAGGAAUAUUGCGCAAUGGGCGAAAGCCUGACGCAGCGACGCCGCGUGGGGGAU